GUACUGAUGUGUGCAUCCAUGUAUGCCCAUGGGUGCUGAUGUGUGCGUGCACGUGUCUCACGGGUGCUGGUGCAUGUGUGUACAUCUGCCUGUGGGUCCUGAUGAAUGCGUUGAGUGCAGGUGUGUGCGCCCACGGUGCUGAUGUGUGUGCACGUAUGUCCGUGGGUCCUGAGUGCGUGAGUGCCGGUGUGUGCGCCCACGGUGCUGAUGUGUGUGUGCACGUAUGUCCGUGGGUCCUGAGUGCGUGAGUGCCGGUGUGUGCGCCCACGGUGCUGACGUGUGUGUGCACAUGUCCGUGGGUGUUGUUGAGUGCGUGAGUGCAGGUGUGUGCGCCCACGGUGCUGAUGUGUGUGUGCACGUAUGUCCGUGGGUCCUGAGUGCGUGAGUGCCGGUGUGUG
Molecule: long non-coding RNA, 398 nt
Filed under: Pan troglodytes (chimpanzee)
Lineage: Eukaryota; Metazoa; Chordata; Mammalia; Primates; Hominidae
Description: long non-coding RNA NONPTRT000812
Source: RNAcentral